Molecule: ribosomal RNA, 254 nt
Filed under: uncultured bacterium
Lineage: Bacteria
Description: partial 16S ribosomal RNA
Rfam family: Bacterial small subunit ribosomal RNA
Source: RNAcentral
UACGUAGGGUGCGAGCGUUAAUCGGAAUUACUGGGCGUAAAGCGUGCGCAGGCGGUUUUGUAAGCCAGAUGUGAAAUCCCCGGGCUUAACCUGGGAAUGGCAUUUGGGACUGCAAGGCUUGAGUGCGGCAGAGGAGACUGGAAUUCCUGGUGUAGCAGUGAAAUGCGUAGAUAUCAGGAGGAACACCGAUGGCGAAGGCAGGUCUCCUGGGCUGACACUGACGCUCAUGCACGAAAGCGUGGGGAGCAAACAGG